GUUGGCCGUGGCGGUGCCCACCGCCCUGCUGCUCCUGCUUCUCGCCGCCUUUUCCCUCCUGAUCGUCACCCGCCAUCGGGCAGCUGUCAAGGCCAAAGCUCUCCGCGAAGAGGGGCUUGGGCAGCGCAGCCCCAUCUACAAGGGCAGCCUGGAGUCGGUGCCCUCCACCGCCGGGGACACCCAACCCCUCGUGAUGUGAGCUCAGGAGGAAAGAGACCCUCCACCUGCCUUCCGGGCUUCUUUCGAGAUUCAGCCUCUUCUUCUGUCUUGGGAUGAUGGGAUCUCACCGACGCAGAAUCUCUUUGGGGUGUUAAUUGCCUUUGAUUUUGAGAAUGGGGGAGUUUGGCUUGCGGAAGGGAGACCUUUCCUCUUGGCUGGCCUGACCAGGAGGCAGCCCAAGGGGCAACAAGAGGGCCAGGAGCCACCCAGUGCGGGCAGGCAGGAGCUUCACAGGAAAGAGGGUCCGUGCAGUGGCCUCCCCUUUGCAAGGAAAGAGUUGAGCGGCACAUCAAGGAAGAGCGAGCGAGCGAGCGAGCUGGGAUCACAACCGUCCCUGCCUCUUCCCCUCCAGCACUUUUUUGGAUCAAAAUAAAAAAUAGCGGGAUGUUGC
Non-coding RNA from Anolis sagrei ordinatus, 610 nucleotides. The record is from RefSeq and is a predicted model, not a curated record. NCBI's taxonomy places the organism in Eukaryota, Metazoa, Chordata, Lepidosauria, Squamata, Anolidae.